RNAcentral lists this ribosomal RNA (1811 nucleotides) under Enterococcus faecalis. RNAcentral describes it as "partial 23S ribosomal RNA". It matches the Rfam family "Bacterial large subunit ribosomal RNA", at positions 345 to 2167 of the family's 2925-position model. The record is from RNAcentral. Lineage: Bacteria; Bacillati; Bacillota; Bacilli; Lactobacillales; Enterococcaceae.
GAAAAUUCCGCUAAAGAGGGUGAAAGCCCCGUAGACGAAAUGCUAACAACACCUAGGAGGAUCCUGAGUACGGCGGAACACGAGAAAUUCCGUCGGAAUCCGCGGGGACCAUCCCGCAAGGCUAAAUACUCCCUAGUGACCGAUAGUGAACCAGUACCGUGAGGGAAAGGUGAAAAGCACCCCGGAAGGGGAGUGAAAUAGAUCCUGAAACCGUGUGCCUACAACAAGUCAAAGCUCGUUAAUGAGUGAUGGCGUGCCUUUUGUAGAAUGAACCGGCGAGUUACGAUUGCAUGCGAGGUUAAGUCGAAGAGACGGAGCCGCAGCGAAAGCGAGUCUGAAUAGGGCGAAUGAGUAUGUAGUCGUAGACCCGAAACCAUGUGAUCUACCCAUGUCCAGGUUGAAGGUGCGGUAAAACGCACUGGAGGACCGAACCCACGUACGUUGAAAAGUGCGGGGAUGAGGUGUGGGUAGCGGAGAAAUUCCAAACGAACUUGGAGAUAGCUGGUUCUCUCCGAAAUAGCUUUAGGGCUAGCCUCGGAAUUGAGAAUGAUGGAGGUAGAGCACUGUUUGGACUAGGGGCCCAUCUCGGGUUACCGAAUUCAGAUAAACUCCGAAUGCCAUUCAUUUAUAUCCGGGAGUCAGACUGCGAGUGAUAAGAUCCGUAGUCGAAAGGGAAACAGCCCAGACCACCAGCUAAGGUCCCAAAAUAUAUGUUAAGUGGAAAAGGAUGUGGGGUUGCACAGACAACUAGGAUGUUGGCUUAGAAGCAGCCACCAUUUAAAGAGUGCGUAAUAGCUCACUAGUCGAGUGACCCUGCGCCGAAAAUGUACCGGGGCUAAACAUAUUACCGAAGCUGUGGACUACACCAUUAGGUGUAGUGGUAGGAGAGCGUUCUAAGGGCGUUGAAGGUCGAUCGUGAGGACGGCUGGAGCGCUUAGAAGUGAGAAUGCCGGUAUGAGUAGCGAAAGACAGGUGAGAAUCCUGUCCACCGUAUGACUAAGGUUUCCUGGGGAAGGCUCGUCCGCCCAGGGUUAGUCGGGACCUAAGCCGAGGCCGAUAGGCGUAGGCGAUGGACAACAGGUUGAUAUUCCUGUACCAGUUGUUUUUGUUUGAGCAAUGGAGGGACGCAGUAGGCUAAGGAAUGCAUGCGAUUGGAAGUGCAUGUCCAAGCAAUGAGUCUUGAGUAGAGUUAAAUGCUUUACUCUUUAAGGACAAGUUGUGACGGGGAGCGAAAUAAUAGUAGCGAAGUUCCUGAUGUCACACUGCCAAGAAAAGCUUCUAGUGAGAAAACAACUGCCCGUACCGUAAACCGACACAGGUAGUCGAGGAGAGUAUCCUAAGGUGAGCGAGCGAACUCUCGUUAAGGAACUCGGCAAAAUGACCCCGUAACUUCGGGAGAAGGGGUGCUGACUUCGGUCAGCCGCAGUGAAUAGGCCCAAGCGACUGUUUAUCAAAAACACAGGUCUCUGCAAAAUCGUAAGAUGAAGUAUAGGGGCUGACGCCUGCCCGGUGCUGGAAGGUUAAGAGGAUGGGUUAGCUUCGGCGAAGCUCAGAAUUGAAGCCCCAGUAAACGGCGGCCGUAACUAUAACGGUCCUAAGGUAGCGAAAUUCCUUGUCGGGUAAGUUCCGACCCGCACGAAAGGCGUAACGAUUUGGGCACUGUCUCAACGAGAGACUCGGUGAAAUUUUAGUACCUGUGAAGAUGCAGGUUACCCGCGACAGGACGGAAAGACCCCAUGGAGCUUUACUGUAGUUUGAUAUUGAGUGUUUGUACCACAUGUACAGGAUAGGUAGGAGCCGAUGAGACCGGA